RNAcentral lists this ribosomal RNA (253 nucleotides) under uncultured bacterium. Its description in RNAcentral is "partial 16S ribosomal RNA". It matches the Rfam family "Bacterial small subunit ribosomal RNA", at positions 524 to 776 of the family's 1533-position model. The record is from RNAcentral.
UACAGAGGUCUCAAGCGUUGUUCGGAUUCAUUGGGCGUAAAGGGUGCGUAGGUGGCGUGGUAAGUCUGGUGUGAAAUCCCGGGGCUCAACCCCGGAACUGCAUUGGAUACUGCCUUGCUAGAGUACUGGAGAGGGAACUGGAAUUUACGGUGUAGCAGUGAAAUGCGUAGAGAUCGUAAGGAAGGCCAGUGGCGAAGGCGAGUUCCUGGACAGUUACUGACGCUGAGGCACGAAGGCCAGGGGAGCAAACGGG